UACAGAGGUGGCAAGCGUUGUUCGGAAUUACUGGGCGUAAAGGGCGCGUAGGCGGCCUUCUAAGUCAGACGUGAAAUCCCCCGGCUUAACCUGGGAACUGCGUCUGAUACUGGGAGGCUUGAGUAUGGGAGAGGGAUGUAGAAUUCCAGGUGUAGCGGUGAAAUGCGUAGAUAUCUGGAGGAACACCGGUGGCGAAGGCGGCAUCCUGGACCGGUAUUGACACUGAGGCGCGAAAGCCAGGGGAGCAAACGGG
RNAcentral lists this ribosomal RNA (253 nucleotides) under uncultured bacterium. RNAcentral describes it as "partial 16S ribosomal RNA". It matches the Rfam family "Bacterial small subunit ribosomal RNA", at positions 524 to 776 of the family's 1533-position model. The record is from RNAcentral.